Punica granatum (pomegranate) is the source of this 1511-nucleotide non-coding RNA. The record is from RefSeq and is a predicted model, not a curated record. NCBI's taxonomy places the organism in Eukaryota, Viridiplantae, Streptophyta, Magnoliopsida, Myrtales, Lythraceae.
CUGUUGCGUAUGUAGCUUAGGUAUAUCUCCUUCUUUAGCAAAAAAGAAUAAUUAAAAAAAAAAAAAGAAACGAAGCCUGGGCCCUUGCAUCUGUUAUAACCUCAAACUAUCGAAUCGGUGUUUACGCAGCACAUCCUUCCUUCCUUGCUUUAGUUUCUAGAUCUGUAAAAUUAGAGAAGAAUUCGUCUCUCCUGCCAUGUUGAAUAUCACAUUAGUAAGCCAGCGUCAAAUUUUGGUUUUAUGUGCCCUAAUCUGUUCAUUAUUUUCCCGAGAAGAGAGAAAAUCUACUAAAUUUGUGAACAGAUGCGUUUUCCACCGCCACCGCCACAGGCUAAGUUUUGCCGGAUGACGCCUAAAGAGAUGGAUGGAGGCCUUCUCAGCUAAGGUGAAGAAAAGCCAGGUAAAUAAGAUAUAUAUCUAAUUUGCGAAUGAAUGCACUUCAUUCUUGUGGCUCGUCCUCCUCUUACAGGGAUUUCGUCAUCCUCCACUCGUUCUGAUUGGCUUAAAAUCUAGGACUUCGAUGUCGAUGGCUUCCCUCAUAUCUAUAGCCACAUGAUUCGACCGGCUUGACCAGGAGAUUUUGACCCUGCCCACUACGACCACUUUCUUCGGCUUGCUGUUGCUAAUUACCUACAAUGCCUACCAGGUUAGCUCAGGCUUGUCGGCUGAUUUUAUUUCUGCAUACACAUUACACUGGCAUCCGUUCACUCUUUUGUGUUGAUUGCUUGUUUAAUUCUACUCGGACCUAACAUUAAUUUGAAUCGUUGUACCUGAACUGUCAUGCAUAGUUGGGCAUAGUAAUACAAAUCCAGUUCUACUGUGAAGGUACUCUUUGGUUGUGCUAAUCAAACUUGAAAAUGAGGCUGGGAUCAUCAGUCUUGAGAAUAAGAACUGAUUAAUUUUGUUGGCCUCUCAGCCCACGAUGAUAUGCAAUCCCCGGCUUCUGAAGUCGAAUUACGAACGUUGUGGUAGUUCUAUGAUUCAAUAAAUGACAUUCGAGGCCUUGGAUUGUGCUGCUGGUACUUUUAAAGUGCACAAGGCUCGUGCGUUUGAGAGGUUUCAACUCGACCGAUCGUAUUGCUACUUUUGCAGGAUCAAAGGAUCAAAGAAGAUUUCUCCGAUGCCUCCUGGUGCUAAUGGCCCUUCUCGCCCCAUGAUUGUAGAUUAUAACCACUGUAGCCUGGUUUUCGGAUAGAACCGUAGGAGAAGGAUUAUAUUUAUGUUUCCGGUUUGCUUGCUGGUUCCGUGAAUGGGAACGGAGGAAAUUGGAAGAUAUGCUAAACGUGAAGAAGCUAAGCUUUGACUGGACUCCUAAUAGCAAGGUAGCUGUUCCGGGGUCCUGGCCGAGAUGAGGCAUGAUGUAAUAGAAAAGGAAGUCCAUCGACUUUAAGUAGACAUAUUAUUUAUCUCGUGUUCAAUGUAAUUAAGCAACAAUUAGCUAAUGAUGCUUAUGUACAUAUAUAUAUAUAUAUAUAUAUAUACCGAUCCGGAGUGGAAUGAUUUCGGUUUUC